RNAcentral lists this long non-coding RNA (303 nucleotides) under Drosophila melanogaster (fruit fly). RNAcentral describes it as "long non-coding RNA:CR46247 (Dmel_CR46247)". Lineage: Eukaryota; Metazoa; Arthropoda; Insecta; Diptera; Drosophilidae. The record is from RNAcentral.
AAAUGCAGCACAAUUGUUUAAAUAGCGCAAUCGAAAAUAUUGCAAAAGCUGAUCACUUCGGUAAUUGUACUAACUUCACAUCCUGUGACCCCAUUGGAACCCAAUGAAGCAGCAACCCAUGACCGGACAUGGCCGGCAAUUUUUGUUCGCCAGCAGAUAUGGAGUUCGAUCCCUAGAAGGAUAUGAGUAGCGGAAUAUCCUAUGAAAUCAGAUAACUAUAAGAAAGGAUUACAUCCAAUAAGCAGAGAGACUAAUCUAAAUGUUUAUAAUAAAUUUACAGAUCAGUUAAUAGUGCACCCAAAC